UUAGAUAAUUCUAAGCGCAAACUUGGUCUGAUGAACUAAGAGUAUAUUCCGGAGUAUACUUUGACUUAAAGGCGUUAUAAAGAGUUGAAACCUGUACU
Molecule: non-coding RNA, 98 nt
Submitted as: unclassified sequences
Source: Rfam